GAACCUGUCUAACUCCACCUCAAAGCUAACUCACAAAGGGAGAUUUGUAAAUCCAUAUAUAUAACACUCAAAACCUCCGUGCAGAACCGAUGUAGGACACAUCAGUUUUUCAAUUUGAAAGGAAGAAAAAACUAAGGUCACAUUAGUUUAAAAACCACAAAACAGAAAUCAGUCCAAAAUCAUGUAACAAAAUCCAAUGAAAAUUAAGACAUACACUUCAUUAGGAAAUUAUAUGGUUAACAAGCCAUAUUCAUCAACUAAUUCUGAAUUUUGAUGCUUAUAAAUUAAACAAUUAAAAAAUGUAGGUUUGCAUUAACAAUACCCUCAGUUAUUUUAAUCCAUCUUAACCAACAGAGCAGCUCUGUUCUUAGGGUAGUUCACUUUUUAUCCUUUUCCAUUUCUAAAGCAAUUAACACAACUCAUAAGAACAGAUUAGGUACAGGGGAGACCUUGAACAACGAAAUCAACCCAUGAAUAUGUUAAAAAUCACAGAAAAACUGCUUCUUUACCUAUGCUAUCAAAAAGCCUGUGUAUCCAAAUUGACAAUGUAAGCUAGAUGUAAAACACAUACGUACUAAACAAAUUAUAAAAACACACAGCUUUUGAAUCCUUGAAUACAAAAUCAUGGAACAUUCUGUCUAUACCUUGUUAGCACUCUCUUUCUCUGC
Molecule: unclassified non-coding RNA, 668 nt
Filed under: Hevea brasiliensis (rubber tree)
Lineage: Eukaryota; Viridiplantae; Streptophyta; Magnoliopsida; Malpighiales; Euphorbiaceae
Source: RNAcentral